UAAAGCGAUAAGGAAAAAUUGUGAUGUUCU
RNAcentral lists this non-coding RNA (30 nucleotides) under Mus musculus (house mouse). Lineage: Eukaryota; Metazoa; Chordata; Mammalia; Rodentia; Muridae. The record is from RNAcentral.